UGAGGAAUCUUGCGCAAUGGGGGAAACCCUGACGCAGCAACGCCGCGUGAGUGAAGAAGGCCUUCGGGUCGUAAAGCUCUGUCGGGUGGGAAGAAAUGCAUGUAGGUUAAUAUCCUGCAUGCUUGACGGUACCGCCAAAGGAAGCACCGGCUAACUCCGUGCCAGCAGCCGCGGGAAUACGGGGGGUGCAAGCGUUGUUCGGAAUUAUUGGGCGUAAAGAGCGUGUAGGCGGCAAGAUAAGUCAGAUGUGAAAGCCCUGGGCUCAACUCAGGAAGUGCAUUUGAUACUGUCUCGCUUGAGUACUGGAGAGGGAAGAGGAAUUCCUGGUGUAGAGGUGAAAUUCGUAGAUAUCAGGAGGAACACCGGUGGCGAAGGCGACUUCCUGGCCAGAUACUGACGCUGAGACGCGAGAGCGUGGGGAGCAAACA
RNAcentral lists this ribosomal RNA (428 nucleotides) under uncultured prokaryote. RNAcentral describes it as "bacterial SSU rRNA". It matches the Rfam family "Bacterial small subunit ribosomal RNA", at positions 355 to 774 of the family's 1533-position model. The record is from RNAcentral.